GAUGAACGCUGGCGGCGUGCCUAAUACAUGCAAGUCGAGCGAACGGACGAGAAGCUUGCUUCUCUGAUGUUAGCGGCGGACGGGUGAGUAACACGUGGAUAACCUACCUAUAAGACUGGGAUAACUUCGGGAAACCGGAGCUAACACCGGAUGAUAUUUUGAACCGCAUGGUUCAAAAGUGAAAGACGGUCUUGCUGUCACUUAUAGAUGGAUCCGGGCUGCAUUAGCUAGUUGGUAAGGUAAUGGCUUACCAAGGCAACGAUGCAUAGCCGACCUGAGAGGGUGAUCGGCCACACUGGAACUGGGACACGGUCCAGGCUCCUACGGGAGGCAGCAGUAGGGAAUCUUCCGCAAUGGGCGAAAGCCUGACGGAGCAACGCCGCGUGAGUGAUGGAGGUCUUCGGAUCGUAAAACUCUGUUAUUAGGGAAGAACAUAUGUGUAAGUAACUGUGCACAUCUUGACGGUACCUAAUCAGAAAGCCACGGCUAACUACGUG
Molecule: ribosomal RNA, 497 nt
Filed under: uncultured bacterium
Lineage: Bacteria
Description: partial 16S ribosomal RNA
Rfam family: Bacterial small subunit ribosomal RNA
Source: RNAcentral